This 497-nucleotide ribosomal RNA is filed under the name uncultured bacterium. RNAcentral describes it as "partial 16S ribosomal RNA". It matches the Rfam family "Bacterial small subunit ribosomal RNA", at positions 28 to 507 of the family's 1533-position model. The record is from RNAcentral.
GACGAACGCUGGCGGCGUGCCUAAUACAUGCAAGUUGAGCGAUGAAGAUUGGUGCUUGCAUCAAUUUGAAGAGCAGCGAACGGGUGAGUAACGCGUGGGGAAUCUGCCUUUGAGCGGGGGACAACAUUUGGAAACGAAUGCUAAUACCGCAUAACAACUUUAAACAUAAGUUUUAAGUUUGAAAGAUGCAAUUGCAUCACUCAAAGAUGAUCCCGCGUUGUAUUAGCUAGUUGGUGAGGUAAAGGCUCACCAAGGCGAUGAUACAUAGCCGACCUGAGAGGGUGAUAGGCCACAUUGGGACUGAGACACGGCCCAAACUCCUACGGGAGGCAGCAGUAGGGAAGCUUCGGCAAUGGACGAAAGUCUGACCGAGCAACGCCGCGUGAGUGAAGAAGGUUUUCGGAUCGUAAAACUCUGUUGGUAGAGAAGAACGUUGGUGAGAGUGGAAAGCUCAUCAAGUGACGGUAACUACCCAGAAAGGGACGGCUAACUACGUG